UAGUGGCGAACGGGGUGAGUAACACGUGAAUAACCUGCCCUGGAGUGGGGGACAACAGUUGGAAACGACUGCGUAAUACCGCAUAAGCCCACAGAGCCGCAUGGCUCAGGGGGAAAAGGAGCAAUUCGCUUCAGGAUGGAUUCGCGUCCAAUUAGCUGGAUGGUGAGGUAACGGCCCACCAUGGCGACGAUUGGUAGCCGGACUGAGAGGUUGAUCGGCCACAUUGGGACUGAGACACGGCCCAGACUCCUACGGGAGGCAGCAGUGGGGAAUAUUGCACAAUGGGGGAAACCCUGAUGCAGCGACGCCGCGUGGAGGAAGAAGGUCUUCGGAUUGUAAACUCCUGUCGUUGGGGACGAUAAUGACGGUACCCAACAAGAAAGCCACGGCUAACUACGUGCCAGCAGCCGCGGUAAAACGUAGGUGGCAAGCGUUGUCCGGAAUUACUGGGUGUAAAGGGAGCGCAGGCGGAAGGACAAGUUGGAAGUGAAACCCACGGGCUCAACCCGUGAACUGCUUUCAAAACUGUUUUUCUUGAGUGGUGUAGAGGUAGGCGGAAUUCCCGGUGUAGCGGUGGAAUGCGUAGAUAUCGGGAGGAACACCAGAGGCGAAGGCGGCCUACUGGGCACUAACUGACGCUGAGGCUCGAAAGCAUGGGUAGCAAACAGGAUUAGAUACCCUGGUAGUCCAUGCCGUAAACGAUGAUUACUAGGUGUGGGAGGAUUGACCCCUUCCGUGCCGCAGUUAAACACAAUAAGUAAUCCCCCUGGGGAGUACGACCGCCAGGUUGAAA
Molecule: ribosomal RNA, 793 nt
Filed under: uncultured bacterium
Lineage: Bacteria
Description: bacterial SSU rRNA
Rfam family: Bacterial small subunit ribosomal RNA
Source: RNAcentral